RNAcentral lists this unclassified non-coding RNA (353 nucleotides) under Spizellomyces sp. RNAcentral's name for it is "partial internal transcribed spacer region". The stretch from base 1 to 46 matches the Rfam family "Eukaryotic small subunit ribosomal RNA", at positions 1786 to 1831 of the family's 1831-position model. The record is from RNAcentral. Lineage: Eukaryota; Fungi; Chytridiomycota; Chytridiomycetes; Spizellomycetales; Spizellomycetaceae.
AAGUCGUAACAAGGUAACCGUAGGUGAACCUGCGGUUGGAUCAUUAAAAAUAACAAUUUGCCACCCAUUGUAUGGCGCUGAGUUCGGCUUGUCUGCGGCAACGAAGGUUGCCAAAGCAUCUAGGACCGGCCACCAAAACAAUGGGAAUUUGGCCCCACAUCUUGUGCACUGUACCGUCUUUGGUGGUGGGAUGGGCAUCGCAGUAUGCUUUGUCUCAUCUGUCAGCUUGGAUCGCAAGGUCCAGGCCGUGGACAAGCCACCGCAUGUAUUCAAACCUCUUGUUUUUCUUUUGUCUGACAUUUCAACUUGCAUUAAUAUACAAACAACUUUUGGCAACGGAUCUCUUGGUUCUC